RNAcentral lists this ribosomal RNA (1307 nucleotides) under uncultured bacterium. Its description in RNAcentral is "bacterial SSU rRNA". It matches the Rfam family "Bacterial small subunit ribosomal RNA", at positions 26 to 1381 of the family's 1533-position model. The record is from RNAcentral.
AAACGUACGCUGGCGGCACGCCUAACACAUGCAAGUCGAACGAAGUAGCAAUACUUAGUGGCAGACGGGUGAGUAACAUGUAGGUAUCUGCCCUUUGGCCUGGAAUAACACGAGGAAACUUGUGCUAAUACCGGAUAAGUCUUUACGGAGAAAGCUUUAUGCACCAUUGGAUGAGCCUGCACUUGAUUAGUUUGUUGGUGGGGUAAUGGCCUACCAAGACUGUGAUCAAUAGCUGAUUUGAGAGGAUGAUCAGCCACAUUGGGACUGAGUCACGGCCCAAACUCCUACGGGAGGCAGCAGUGGGGAAUCUUGCACAAUGGAGGAAACUCUGAUGCAGCGAUGCCGCGUGAGUGAAGAAGGCCCUUGGGUUGUAAAGCUCUUUCGUCGGGGAAGAAAAUGACUGUACCCGAAUAAGAAGGUCCGGCUAACUUCGUGCCAGCAGCCGCGGUAAUACGAAGGGACCUAGCGUAGUUCGGAAUUACUGGGCUUAAAGAGUUCGUAGGUGGUUGAAAAAGUUAGUGGUGAAAUCCCAGAGCUUAACUCUGGAACUGCCAUUAAAACUUUUCAGCUAGAGUAUGAUAGAGGAAAGCAGAAUUUCUAGUGUAGAGGUGAAAUUCGUAGAUAUUAGAAAGAAUACCAAUUGCGAAGGCAGCUUUCUGGAUCAUUACUGACACUGAGGAACGAAAGCAUGGGUAGCGAAGAGGAUUAGAUACCCUCGUAGUCCAUGCCGUAAACGAUGUGUGUUAGACGUUGGAAAUUUAUUUUCAGUGUCGCAGGGAAACCGAUAAACACACCGCCUGGGGAGUACGACCGCAAGGUUAAAACUCAAAUGAAUUGACGGGGACCCGCACAAGUAGUGGAGCAUGUGGUUUAAUUCGAAGAUACGCGCAGAACCUUACCAACACUUGACAUGUUCGUCGCGACUCUAAGAGAUUAGAGUUUUCGGUUCGGCCGGACGAAACACAGGUGCUGCAUGGCUGUCGUCAGCUCGUGUCGUGAGAUGUUGGGUUAAGUCCCGCAACGAGCGCAACCCUCACUUUUAGUUGCCAUCAUUAAGUUGGGCACUCUGAAAGAACUGCCAGUGAUAAGCUGGAGGAAGGUGGGGAUGACGUCAAGUCCUCAUGGCCCUUACGUGUUGGGCUACACACGUGCUACAAUGGUAUCUACAACAGGAAGCAAGACUGCGAAGUUAAGCAAAUCCCUAAAAGAUACCUCAGUUCGGAUUGCACUCUGCAACUCGAGUGCAUGAAGCUGGAAUUACUAGUAAUCGUGGAUCAGCGUGCCACGGUGAAUGCGUUCCCGGGUCU